Molecule: ribosomal RNA, 459 nt
Filed under: Salmonella enterica
Lineage: Bacteria; Pseudomonadati; Pseudomonadota; Gammaproteobacteria; Enterobacterales; Enterobacteriaceae
Also listed under: 2 other names
Description: bacterial SSU rRNA
Rfam family: Bacterial small subunit ribosomal RNA
Source: RNAcentral
AAAUUGAAGAGUUUGAUCAUGGCUCAGAUUGAACGCUGGCGGCAGGCCUAACACAUGCAAGUCGAACGGUAACAGGAAGCAGUUUGCUGCUUCGCUGACGAGUGGCGGACGGGUGAGUAAUGUCUGGGAAACUGCCUGAUGGAGGGGGAUAACUACUGGAAACGGUGGCUAAUACCGCAUAACGUCGCAAGACCAAAGAGGGGGACCUUCGGGCCUCUUGCCAUCAGAUGUGCCCAGAUGGGAUUAGCUAGUUGGUGAGGUAACGGCUCACCAAGGCGACGAUCCCUAGCUGGUCUGAGAGGAUGACCAGCCACACUGGAACUGAGACACGGUCCAGACUCCUACGGGAGGCAGCAGUGGGGAAUAUUGCACAAUGGGCGCAAGCCUGAUGCAGCCAUGCCGCGUGUAUGAAGAAGGCCUUCGGGUUGUAAAGUACUUUCAGCGGGGAGGAAGGUGUUG